Molecule: microRNA precursor, 90 nt
Filed under: Pteropus vampyrus (large flying fox)
Lineage: Eukaryota; Metazoa; Chordata; Mammalia; Chiroptera; Pteropodidae
Description: miRNA (ENSPVAG00000025118.1)
Source: RNAcentral
AAUACAGGUAUUUAUUGAAAGGAAUUUCGUGUAUAAGUGGACCCAUGCAGUUCAAAUCUGUGUUGUUCAAGGGUCAACUGUAUAUAUUCU